RNAcentral lists this long non-coding RNA (771 nucleotides) under Pongo abelii (Sumatran orangutan). RNAcentral describes it as "lincRNA". Lineage: Eukaryota; Metazoa; Chordata; Mammalia; Primates; Hominidae. The record is from RNAcentral.
AGAAUCCUCAGCGCCUGAGGCCCCCGCCCCUUUUGUCUGCGUUAGUGAAGGAAUUGGCUCUUCGAGGGUGCGACUAAAGAAAGCCGUUGAGAGAACAGAUAGAUGUGAUCCAGACAAGUAUGUGAACAAGUGCUUGGAAACACAUAUUUCUGAACAAUUCCCUUUAUGACAAUUCCCUCAGAGUUGGAAGAGACAACAAUUGAUGACUAUAAUGCCAAUUAAGUAGAAUGGAUAUGAAUGCCUGAAAAUAAGCUGGAAAUUUUAAGGCCAAAAUUCUUCGAAAUACAAAGAAGAAACCUUUCUGAAGACAAAUAGCUGUAGAAGUUCUCCUCAAUGCAUACAAAUGAUAAUUCUUAAAACACAAUGACUGAAAGUAUUUAUUUGCAACAAAUUUAUUUGACCACUUAUUCAAGGGCUGCUCGUCCAAGAGCUAUAUUAAGGUCUAUUUACUUUAUCCCUACCAAAGGCGGUAUUUUUUGAGGAUAGAAACUACGUCUCAUGGAGUUUAUCACUCAGAGUGCCUACUUAGGAGACUGCUUGCAUAAUGAAUGAAACGAAGGAAGAAUGAAUGAAUACUUUGGGACCCCACCUCCCAACACACUUCCACAUAUCGAAAUGCACACGGAAUGAGGUACAUCUUCUAAGGAGAGUGGCAUUGAAGAGUAAUCAAAACAACAGGAUAUUCACAGGAGGACUGGAGUAAAAAGAAAUUUCCAGUGAAAAAGAUUACUCAAAAUAUUUAUUCAAUACACUCUGAAAUUAGAAACUGAG